RNAcentral lists this long non-coding RNA (1848 nucleotides) under Gadus morhua (Atlantic cod). RNAcentral's name for it is "lncRNA (ENSGMOG00000022835.1)". The record is from RNAcentral. Lineage: Eukaryota; Metazoa; Chordata; Actinopteri; Gadiformes; Gadidae.
AUGAAAAGUGAUGUCGGCCAUUUUGUGUGUUUGUUUACACAAAUACACACCUUUCCCUUUCAUAGAAGACUCUGUUUGCAUGUUCUCCUUCAGACGUCCACCAGCCAAUCAGGAGGAAGUGCCAACGCCGCCGCAGCUAAUGGCUACCAGGACGCUAGCUCCCACGCAGCCAAUCAGGUACAUUCAGGUGACCUCCUCCGCAGCGUACGGCAACAACAACAACAGCAAACCGAGCAGCCCCCCCCCCUCCGCCCUUCCCCCCUCCUCCCUCUGCUGAGGAGGCGGGCCUCCGACCCCGUUCCCCACGGUAACCGGCGGCGGGGGGGGGUUGCCGGGGAAACGCACACCAGGUACACCUACGGCCUCGGCCAGGGCCAAACCGCCUCUGGUACGGCACAGCCGCGUCGUCAUGACGACGUCGGCCCCCUGGCGCACAGCCAUACGUGGGGCAGCCUGCACCGGCCCGCCGCCGCCGCCGCCGCCACCGGGAACCUGAACCGGGACGCGACACGCCCCCACGCGCGGUCGCGCACCCCGGAUAAUGGGGGCCGGCGUUCGGCCCUGCGUGCCGGGCAAGCCCCCGGCGACGGGCGCGCCCGUAGUGGCGAUCGUGGGCGGGACCCGGUCGCGCCCGAUCAGAGUUACGCCGACAACAUCCGGGCCAUGGCGGACCAGAUGUACGGGGACCCCCCACGCCACGUGCCUGCACGUUGUCACGGCAACCAAAACACCGGCAGAUGCGAGGACGUGCGGGUUCAUGGGGACACACAGGGUUAUGGGGACAGACGGGUUUAUGAGGACAGACAGGGUUAUGAGGACAGACGGGUAAAUGGGGACACUCGGGCUUAUGAGAACACAGAGGCCUAUGUGGACAGACGGGUUAAAGGAGACACACAGGCCUAUUUGGACAGACGGGUUAAUGGGGACACACAGGUUAAUGGGGACAGGCGGGUUAUUGGGGACACACAGGUUUAUAAGGACAGACAGGGUAAUGGGGAAACGCAGGGUCAUGGGAACACAAAGAGUUAUGAAGACACACAGGUUUAUAAGGACAGACGGGUUAAUGGGGACACACAAGCUUAUGAGGACGGACGGGUUAAGGGGGACACACAGGCCUAUUUGGACAGACGGGUUAAUGGGGACAGACUGGUUAAUGGGGGCACACAGACUUAUGUGGACAGACGGGUUAAUGGGGACACACAGGCUUAUGAGGACGGACGAGUUAAAGGUGACACACAGGCCUAUUUGGACAGACGCGUUUAUAAGGACAGACAGGGUUAUGGGGAAACGCCGGGUCAUGGGAACACAAAGAGUUAUGAGGACCGAUGGGUUUCAAGGGUUCAUGAGGACGCAAAGAGUUAUGAAGACACACAGGUUUAUAAGGACAGACGGGUUAAUGGGGACACACAGGCUUAUGAGGACAAACGCAUAUAUAGGGGAACCACCGUAGACUAUGAGGACUCUCGCAGAUAUCAGGACAGGCCGGUGUAUGGGGACACACAGGUUUAUGAGGACAGACCGGGUUAUGGGGACACUCGCAUAAACAGGGGAAGCCCAGAUUAUGAGGAUUUACACAGAUAUCAGGACAGGCCGGUUUAUGGAGACACUCACCGAUCUCGGGCAAAACCAGAAUACGAGGACUCGUACAGAUACUGGGACUCGUACAGAUACCGGGACUCACAGCGUUGUGAGGACAUGCAGAGGUUUUGGGACAUGCCGGAUUAUGGGGACACAGCAGAUUAUGAACACACAUACAGCCACAAACACGGGUACAACGACGCACAUAACUAUACGCACAACCAGGCACUGACUAAACACCAUUACCUCAGAGUCUCCAGUGGACUCUGA